Molecule: ribosomal RNA, 550 nt
Filed under: uncultured bacterium
Lineage: Bacteria
Description: bacterial SSU rRNA
Rfam family: Bacterial small subunit ribosomal RNA
Source: RNAcentral
ACGGGUGAGUAAUGCUUGGGAACUUGCCUUUAGGUGGGGGAUAACAGUUGGAAACGACUGCUAAUACCGCAUAAUGUCUACGGACCAAAGGGGGCUUCGGCUCUCGCCUUGAGAGAGGCCCAAGUGAGAUUAGCUAGUUGGUGGGGUAAAGGCCUACCAAGGCAACGAUCUCUAGCUGUUCUGAGAGGAAGAUCAGCCACACUGGGACUGAGACACGGCCCAGACUCCUACGGGAGGCAGCAGUGGGGAAUAUUGCACAAUGGGGGAAACCCUGAUGCAGCCAUGCCGCGUGUGUGAAGAAGGCCUUCGGGUUGUAAAGCACUUUCAGUUGUGAGGAAAGGUUGGUAGUUAAUACCUGCCAGCUGUGACGUUAACAACAGGAGAAGCACCGGCUAACUCCGUGCCAGCAGCCGCGGUAAUACGGAGGGUGCGAGCGUUAAUCGGAAUUACUGGGCGUAAAGCGCACGCAGGCGGCUUGUUAAGCUAGAGGUGAAAGCCCCGCGCUCAACGUGGGAACUGCCUUUAGAACUGGCAGGCUAGAGUCUUGGAG